UACGUAGGGGGCGAGCGUUGUUCGGAGUUACUGGGCGUAAAGGGCGCGUAGGCGGCGAUCCAAGUUAGGCGUGAAAGCCCCGGGCUUAACCUGGGAAUUGCGCUUAAGACUGGACUGCUUGAGUGCGGGAGAGGUGAGUGGAAUUCCCAGUGUAGAGGUGAAAUGCGUAGAUAUUGGGAAGAACACCAGUGGCGAAGGCGGCUCGCUGGCCCGCAACUGACGCUGAGGCGCGAAAGCGUGGGGAGCAAACAGG
This 253-nucleotide ribosomal RNA is filed under the name uncultured bacterium. RNAcentral's name for it is "partial 16S ribosomal RNA". It matches the Rfam family "Bacterial small subunit ribosomal RNA", at positions 524 to 776 of the family's 1533-position model. The record is from RNAcentral.